Molecule: long non-coding RNA, 1032 nt
Filed under: Drosophila guanche
Lineage: Eukaryota; Metazoa; Arthropoda; Insecta; Diptera; Drosophilidae
Source: RNAcentral
GAACGUGUGUGAAGGGCUGGGCGGAACAUUCAAUUUGCCACCCGAUUAUUCAAUUUGCACGCGACAGGCGGAACAUUUGCAUAUGAUAAUAAAAGUAAGGCGGGCCCCAAACAAAAAAUCGAUGGCCAUUCAGGAUUUACCAACCAAAUGGUGUGUAUCUUGUUUAUAUUUUGCUGCAGCUUCCGAUAUAUGGGUAUUUAUGUGUGUUUUUCGUGCUGCAUGAAUGCAUAAAUGCAACAAAAUGUGGCAGUAUUUCAAUGGAAUCCCCUGGCAACGAUAUACUUCAUUUGAUUUAUGUUCCAGUCACACUGCUAACUGGCAAUAGUAAGCAAUCAGAAAUCAACAUUCCGAUGGGAAAAGCAACUGUCGUUGAUAAUAAUAAUCGAGAGAGGCGAAGCCGUAGCGUAACCCUUUUCCCACUUCAUUUGCGUUGGUGUCUGGAACUUAAUAAAAGUUUUUGAUUGAGGUGCAAAUGGAGAGCAAUGUCGGGAUAAAUUCAGCAAUACUUUCCGCAAAUUGGCAAUGGAUUGAGGCAGGGACUAGCCCAAAUGGAGUGCUGACAGAAUUCUGAAGACCUUUGUUUGGCCCCCCCUAAGCACACACAAAAAUAAAGGAUAAAGGAAAAACCAACCAAAUGGCAUUUCAUUUUUCACGUUUUCAUGUUUUUCUGUGCGUUCCCUGUGAAUCCUUUUAUUUUUCUUUCCGGAAAAUGUUAUAAAUUAUGUUUAUGUUUUGGGUAGGGGGUGGGUGUUUUGCGUGUGGCUUAGUCCAAAAAUUAGUUGUCAUUAGAUUUAAUAGUCUGGGCGCACCUUUUUGUGUGUGUAGCUAUUAAUGCGGCAGAGCCAAAUGGACUCGUUGGGCUCAUUAUGUACGAUAAGAUCGGGGAUUACGGGUCGGUCUGACUACGAGCCCAAGUAGUAUUUUUCACACUUUUUGGCCAUAAUGUUCCACUGCUUGCCCAGCGGACACUUUCUUCGACCACCGCGAUGGACUAUUAUCAAAAUCAAUACCACAAUCAGCUGAGAAAGUUUC